UUUUCUUUUUUAAAGCUAUCUUAUAAUUGCAUCUACAUCAUUUAUAUUCUCUCUAUAACAAUUUUUCAUAAAAACUCCCCCUAAAAAUAAUCGUUAGUG
RNAcentral lists this transfer RNA (99 nucleotides) under Clostridium chauvoei JF4335. RNAcentral describes it as "partial tRNA-Cys". Lineage: Bacteria; Bacillati; Bacillota; Clostridia; Eubacteriales; Clostridiaceae. The record is from RNAcentral.